This 218-nucleotide long non-coding RNA is filed under the name Gossypium barbadense (sea-island cotton). RNAcentral's name for it is "long non-coding RNA (GBAR_LNC001568)". Lineage: Eukaryota; Viridiplantae; Streptophyta; Magnoliopsida; Malvales; Malvaceae. The record is from RNAcentral.
UGUAAGGCUGGACGAAGAUGGAGUGUAGAGGCUGGAUGGGUAGGACUUGCAUACUGUUUACUGUUUCUGCACUAUUUACUAUUACUGCACUGUUUACUGUUACUAAAAUGGGCCAAGGUCCAAACACAUGACUAUUUCUGUAUUGAGAUGGGCUAAAGCCCAAACUGAUAUUGCCACAGUUACUAAAAAGGGCUUAGGCCCAGACUGUAUUUGCUCAC